CCUACGGAGGCAGCAGUCCUACGGGAGGCAGCAGUCCUACGGGAGGCAGCAGUCCUACGGGAGGCAGCAGUCCUACGGGAGGCAGCAGUCCUACGGGAGGCAGCAGCAGGGAAUCUUGCGCAAUGGGCGAAAGCCUGACGCAGCAACGCCGCGUGGGGGAUGAAGGCCUUCGGGUUGUAAACCCCUUUCAGGAGGGAAGAAAUUGACGGUACCUCCAGAAGAAGGACCGGCCAACUACGUGCCAGCAGCCGCGGUAAU
This 258-nucleotide ribosomal RNA is filed under the name uncultured bacterium. RNAcentral describes it as "partial 16S ribosomal RNA". It matches the Rfam family "Bacterial small subunit ribosomal RNA", at positions 237 to 524 of the family's 1533-position model. The record is from RNAcentral.